AGAUUUCUUGUUCUUCACGACGUGGGGAUUUCACAAACAGGAAAAACUGCUUUUACUUUUCCUAAAGAGGAACUGUUUAUGCCUCAUGAUGCAUUGAUGCCUGGAACUGGGCUUGCUUUAAAGUAGAGCGGAAAUGUAAGAAAUGCUCUUAGCAUAGGACAAGCAGAGUGCCGCCCAUUUGCAGUGCUGGGAAUUUAAGUUUAUGCACAACUAUGACAGAACCCUGCAUCCACUGGAAUCGAGAUCUAGGAACCUUGAAGAAAAAAAUGGCUCUGCUGUGCACUUUUAACCUUGCUGGUGUGAAUCCU
RNAcentral lists this long non-coding RNA (308 nucleotides) under Gallus gallus (chicken). RNAcentral's name for it is "long non-coding RNA NONGGAT006604". The record is from RNAcentral. Lineage: Eukaryota; Metazoa; Chordata; Aves; Galliformes; Phasianidae.